AGCGAACGCUGGCGGCGUGCCUAACACAUGCAAGUCGAACGUGAAAAGGGAAACCUGAGUCCAGUGGCGUACGGGUGAGUAACGCGUAGGUAAUCUACCCCAGAAUCUGGAAUAACCUGCCGAAAGGCGGGCUAAUACUGGAUAGAGCGAGGGAACUCGUAAGAGAGUUUUUCGGGAAAGGGAGCCCGCAAGGGCCUUCGUUCUGGGAUGAGCCUGCGUCUCAUUAGCUAGUUGGUAAGGUAACGGCUUACCAAGGCGAUGAUGAGUAGCUGGUCUGAGAGGAUGAUCAGCCACACUGGAACUGAAACACGGUCCAGACUCCUACGGGAGGCAGCAGUGGGGAAUCUUGCGCAAUGGACGAAAGUCUGACGCAGCCACGCCGCGGGAGUGAAGAAGGCCUUCGGGUUGUAAAGCUCUGUCGGAUGGGACGAACAUCUUCAUAGUGAAUAGCUAUGAGGACUGACGGUACCAUCAAAGGAAGCACCGGCUAACUCCGUG
Molecule: ribosomal RNA, 498 nt
Filed under: uncultured bacterium
Lineage: Bacteria
Description: partial 16S ribosomal RNA
Rfam family: Bacterial small subunit ribosomal RNA
Source: RNAcentral